UUCAUUUAGAUAGAAAUCAUGACUUCCUCAUGUACCCAAAAAAAAAUGACUUCCUCUGCUAAUAUUUUCUACACCAUCUUCAUCUUCCUGUGUCUUGCCCAUCUUAUUUUCAUAUAUGAAGUGGAAGCAAAAAUUUGUAGAGCAUCAAAGAAUACAAAAUUGACAUAUGGUUGUAGUCCGUACUCAUGUCAUGUAGACUGCAUCAGUAGAGAGCAUGCAGAUUACGGUGCUUGUAUGCCUCGAGACAUGUUUUUUUUACAAUGCUUAUGCUACUUCACAUGUUGAGCAACGAGUUUAUUUUUGUCUGAAGUGAUAAAUUUUACUGAAAUUCGUACAUCAA
Trifolium pratense (red clover) is the source of this 340-nucleotide long non-coding RNA. RefSeq lists it as uncharacterized. Lineage: Eukaryota; Viridiplantae; Streptophyta; Magnoliopsida; Fabales; Fabaceae. The record is from RefSeq and is a predicted model, not a curated record. The transcript has 2 exons.